GACGAACGCUGGCGGCGUGCUUAACACAUGCAAGUCGAACGGAAAGUCCCUGCUUUUUUUGGGUGCUCGAGUGGCGAACGGGUGAGUAACACGUAAGUAACCUGCCCUUGACUUUGGGAUAACUUCAGGAAACUGGGGCUAAUACCGGAUAGCAGCUCCUGCUGCCUGGUGAGGGUUGGAAAGUCUCGGCGGGUGGCGAUGGACUCGCGGCUUGUCUGCCUGUUGGUGGGGGAGUGGCUUACCCAGGCUUUGACGGGCAGCCGGCCUGAGAGGGUGACCGGCGAUACGGGGACGGCGACACGGGCCAGAAGCAUAAGGGAGGCAGCGGUGGGGGAUAUUGGACUAUGCGAGGAAGCCCGAGGGAAGAAAGAAGCGUGCGGGAGUACGGAACUGGGUUUGUAUGCGGCUUUAGCACGUGAGGGAGGGGAAGUGACGGUAACGGGUAAAGAAGCCACGGCUAACUACGUG
RNAcentral lists this ribosomal RNA (468 nucleotides) under uncultured bacterium. RNAcentral's name for it is "partial 16S ribosomal RNA". It matches the Rfam family "Bacterial small subunit ribosomal RNA", at positions 28 to 507 of the family's 1533-position model. The record is from RNAcentral.